GACGAACGCUGGCGGCGUGCUUAACACAUGCAAGUCGAACGGAAAGGCCCUGCUUUUGUGGGGUGCUCGAGUGGCGAACGUGUGAGUAACACGUGAGUAACCUGCCCUUGACUUUGGGAUAACUUCAGGAAACUGGUGCUAAUACCGGAUAGGAUCUCCUGCUGCAUGGUGGGGGUUGGAAAGUUUCGGCGGUUGGGGAUGGACUCGCGGCUUAUCAGCUUGCUGGUGGGGUAGUGGCUUACCAAGGCUUUGACGGGUAGCCGGCCUGAGAGGGUGACCGGCCACAUUGGGACUGAGAUACGGCCCAGACUCCUACGGGAGGCAGCAGUGGGGAAUAUUGCACAAUGGGCGGAAGCCUGAUGCAGCAACGCCGCGUGCGGGAUGACGGCCUUCGGGUUGUAAACCGCUUUCGCCUGUGACGAAGCGUGAGUGACGGUAAUGGGUAAAGAAGCACCGGCUAACUACGUG
RNAcentral lists this ribosomal RNA (468 nucleotides) under uncultured bacterium. RNAcentral's name for it is "partial 16S ribosomal RNA". It matches the Rfam family "Bacterial small subunit ribosomal RNA", at positions 28 to 507 of the family's 1533-position model. The record is from RNAcentral.